RNAcentral lists this long non-coding RNA (215 nucleotides) under Salvia miltiorrhiza (redroot sage). RNAcentral describes it as "long non-coding RNA (SMIL_LNC002997)". Lineage: Eukaryota; Viridiplantae; Streptophyta; Magnoliopsida; Lamiales; Lamiaceae. The record is from RNAcentral.
GUGUCGAGGAGGUCCGAGAUGCACCCAAUCUCUGCGUCAGAUGUCAGGCGGAGGAGGAGAGGACGGAAUCGGACUCCGAUUGGUCUUCGGAGGAUGUCUCAACGGGGCCGGCAGAUGCUAUUAUCGAGGAUGACGAAAAGCAUUUUUACAAAAGCAGCAGCGUUUCAUUGUCCCAAGAAACAGUCUCUUCGAUUCCAACAUCGUGUGAGGGGGGU